CCUACGGGAGGCAGCAGUGGGGAAUAUUGCACAAUGGGGGAAACCCUGAUGCAGCGACGCCGCGUGAGUGAAGAAGUAUUUCGGUAUGUAAAGCUCUAUCAGCAGGGAAGAAAAUGACGGUACCUGAUUAAGAAGCCCCGGCUAACUACGUGCCAGCAGCCGCGGUAAUACGUAGGGGGCAAGCGUUAUCCGGAUUUACUGGGUGUAAAGGGAGCGUAGACGGCAGCACAAGUCUGGAGUGAAAUGCCGGGGCUUAACCCCGGAACUGCUUUGGAAACUGUGCAGCUAGAGUGCAGGAGAGGAAAGGGGAAUUCCUAGGGUAGCGGUGAAAGGCGUAGAUAUUAGGAGGAACACGAGUG
Molecule: ribosomal RNA, 359 nt
Filed under: uncultured bacterium
Lineage: Bacteria
Description: partial 16S ribosomal RNA
Rfam family: Bacterial small subunit ribosomal RNA
Source: RNAcentral